AUUCCUCUCUGAGAAUGGCCCGCGGCCAUGACAUUGUGUGACCUCCAUCAGCUCCAGCUGGGUCCCUGUUACCCUUCCUCAAUCGUCGGCUCAUUCACGGCAUGAGUGUCUGUCCUGACGAUGGAGCUGACCCGACCGGAGACUGAGUGACAUGCAAAUCCAGGCUGGAGUUACUGUCCUCCCUCUCUCCGGAGCUGCGAGUGGAUUCUGCUCCCUAUGCUUUGGAGAUAAUCAUGAACAGACAUUCACUUCUUGGCCUCCUGGAAAUUCCGGUUUCACUGGAGAAAACAGACAUCAGCCAAAAGAACAAAGAAAUAAAAUUACAAAAGAUUCCAGCUCCCGGUUCCAGGCCUUUGGAGAGGAUUCUAAACCGAGCUGUAAUGUGGUCUAUAAUCCCAUUAAAAAUAUCAUUAAUGUAUUCUUC
This is a long non-coding RNA of Hyaena hyaena (striped hyena), 424 nucleotides long. RefSeq lists it as uncharacterized. NCBI's taxonomy places the organism in Eukaryota, Metazoa, Chordata, Mammalia, Carnivora, Hyaenidae. The transcript has 3 exons. The record is from RefSeq and is a predicted model, not a curated record.